GAUCGGUCCAAGCGCAGUGAUGUCCACAACUCGUUAAUCACAGCCAGUUAGGAUGUCUGUUGUUUCUCUGCUCUUACUGCUUCACUUGACCAGCCUUAA
Molecule: Y RNA, 99 nt
Filed under: Carlito syrichta (Philippine tarsier)
Lineage: Eukaryota; Metazoa; Chordata; Mammalia; Primates; Tarsiidae
Description: Y RNA (ENSTSYG00000021923.2)
Rfam family: Y RNA
About the family: Y RNAs are components of the Ro ribonucleoprotein particle (Ro RNP), in association with Ro60 and La proteins. The Y RNAs and Ro60 and La proteins are well conserved, but the function of the Ro RNP is not known.
Source: Rfam by way of RNAcentral